This 1043-nucleotide ribosomal RNA is filed under the name uncultured archaeon. Its description in RNAcentral is "bacterial SSU rRNA". It matches the Rfam family "Archaeal small subunit ribosomal RNA", at positions 1 to 1054 of the family's 1478-position model. The record is from RNAcentral.
UCUGGUUGAUCCUGCCGGAGGCCACUGCUAUCGGGGUUCGAUUAAGCCAUGCGAGUCGAGAGGUGCAAGACCUCGGCAUACUGCUCAGUAACACGUGGACAACCUACCCUAAGGAGGGGGAUAACCCCGGAAAACUGGGGAUAAUACCCCAUAGACUACAGAAGCUGGAAUGCUCUGUAAUUGAAAGGUCCGCCGCCUUAGGAUGGGUCUGCGGCUGAUUAGGUUGUUGUUGGGGUAACGGCCCAACAAGCCUGUAAUCAGUACGGGUUGUGGGAGCAAGAACCCGGAGAUGGAUUCUGAGACACGAAUCCAGGCCCUACGGGGCGCAGCAGGCGCGAAAACUUUACAAUGCGGGAAACCGUGAUAAGGGAACCCCGAGUGCCCGUAAAUUCGGGCUGUUAACCUGUUUAAAAAGCAGGUGGAGAAAGGGCCGGGCAAGACCGGUGCCAGCCGCCGCGGUAAUACCGGCGGCUCGAGUGGUGGCCACUAUUACUGGGCUUAAAGCGUCCGUAGCUGGAUUGUUAAGUCUCUUGGGAAAUCUACCGGCUUAACCGAUAGGCGUUCAAGGGAUACUGGCAAUCUAGGGACCGGGAGAGGUGAGAGGUACUCCAGGGGUAGGAGUGAAAUCCUGUAAUCCUUGGGGGACCACCUGUGGCGAAGGCGUCUCACCAGAACGGCUCCGACAGUGAGGGACGAAAGCUGGGGGAGCAAACCGGAUUAGAUACCCGGGUAGUCCCAGCUGUAAACGAUGCGCGUUAGGUGUAUCGGUGACCACGAGUCACCGAGGUGCCGAAGAGAAAUCGUGAAACGUGCCGCCUGGGAAGUACGGUCGCAAGGCUGAAACUUAAAGGAAUUGGCGGGGGAGCACCACAACGGGUGGAGCCUGCGGUUUAAUCGGACUCAACGCCGGAAAGCUCACCAGAUAAGACAGCGGAAUGAUAGCCGGGCUGAAGACUCUGCUUGACUAGCUGAGAGGAGGUGCAUGGCCGUCGUCAGUUCGUACUGUGAAGCAUCCUGUUAAGUCAGGCAACGAGCGAGACCCA